UGACGCGGCGCUCGCCAGGCCGCAGCCCCGCCGCCCCGCAGUAGGGCCCGCCUCGGCCCGCCCCCGGCCCUCCCCGCCCGGCCUCCCGAGCGCCCCUGUCAGAUUGUGGCGGCUGGCCGCGCGGUGCGCUCCUUCCCUGCUGCCUGGGCGAGGAGGCUUGUGUGCAGGCACACCCCCACGUCCCUUCGGCGCCGCUGCCUCUGCUCCACUGGCCUCAGCUCCGCCCAGCUCUCCGCCACACGCCGGUAGCGACAUGGCACACGCGGCGGUACGCUGCCCCAGCGCUCGGGGCUCCGGGGACGGAGAGAUGGGCAAGCCCAGAAAAGUGGCGCUCAUCACUGGCAUCACGGGCCAGGAUGGUUCAUACUUGGCUGAGUUCCUGCUGGAGAAAGGCUACGAGGUCCAUGGAAUUGUGCGGCGAUCCAGUUCAUUCAAUACAGGUCGAAUUGAACAUCUGUAUAAGAACCCCCAGGCUCAUAUUGAAGGAAACAUGAAGUUGCACUAUGGUGACCUCACUGACAGUACCUGCCUUGUGAAGAUCAUUAAUGAAGUAAAGCCUACAGAGAUCUACAACCUUGGAGCCCAGAGCCACGUUAAAAUUUCUUUUGACCUGGCUGAAUAUACUGCAGAUGUUGAUGGAGUUGGCACUUUACGGCUUUUGGAUGCAGUUAAAACCUGUGGCCUUAUCAACUCUGUGAAGUUCUACCAAGCCUCAACAAGUGAACUCUAUGGGAAAGUGCAAGAAAUACCCCAGAAGGAGACUACUCCUUUUUAUCCUCGGUCACCGUACGGGGCUGCUAAACUCUAUGCCUAUUGGAUUGUGGUGAACUUCCGAGAGGCAUAUAAUCUCUUUGCAGUUAAUGGCAUUCUCUUCAAUCAUGAAAGUCCCAGAAGAGGAGCUAAUUUUGUUACUCGAAAAAUUAGCCGGUCAGUGGCUAAGAUUUACCUUGGACAACUGGAAUGUUUCAGCUUGGGAAAUCUGGAUGCCAAACGAGAUUGGGGCCAUGCCAAGGACUAUGUAGAGGCUAUGUGGCUGAUGUUACAGAAUGAUGAGCCAGAGGAUUUUGUCAUAGCUACUGGGGAAGUCCAUAGUGUUCGGGAAUUUGUGGAGAAAUCAUUUUUGCAUAUUGGAAAAACCAUCGUGUGGGAAGGAAAGAAUGAAAAUGAAGUGGGCAGAUGUAAAGAGACCGGCAAAGUUCACGUGACUGUGGAUCUCAAAUACUACCGACCAACCGAAGUGGACUUUCUGCAAGGAGAUUGCACCAAAGCGAAACAGAAGCUGAGCUGGAAACCCCGGGUCGCUUUUGAUGAGCUGGUGAGGGAGAUGGUGGACGCCGACGUGGAGCUCAUGAGAAACAACCCCAACGCGUGAGAGCGGCCGCGGAGGCCCGCGCCGCCCCUGCCGGCCUGUGGUCCCCGCUUGGAAUCAGCUGGUGCGGGGUCGCAGGUGUGAUCCCGGGAGGGGCGCGAGAAUCCGGCGGGUUCCCUGCGGACCCUCGCUGCCUCUGCGCUUUGUCCCCGCCGUUAGGAUCUGGGGCCGCUGAGAUCUGGAAACCCAGUUCCUGAAGAAAGGAGGCAUUCACACCCCCUCCGGUCUCUGCUGACUAUAAUUAGAACCCACGGAGCUCCCACCAUCUCAAAAGAAGUCUUGAGAAAUAGAGGGGGGCCAGAAGAAGAAACCUGAAGGUUUAUGAUCUGGGGGAGGACCCAGGCUCCAAUGGCUGGCGGCAGGAGAGAGGGCUCUUUGUGUGGCUGCCUGAGUUGCUACAAGAGUAUGCUGGCCAGGGGCAGCCUCGGCUUCGAUGGAGCAGAACUGGGGCGGCUUGAGCUGGCCCACCCGGUUCUCAGAAGCUGCCCCAGGACAGGCCUUCUCCCAAUCGGGAUGCUGCUAAUUGGAAACAGAUGGCUCUGGAAGGCUGGGCUCCAGGACUGAGAUGGCUGGUGGGCACAGAGGCACUCACAAGUACACAAUCACACAUGUUGCCACACAUCCAAACCCACACAUGCACACAAAUACAGAUACACACCUACAACAGUCCCACAAACACGCAUUCACUCACAAACACUUGAAAACACAACACAAACCUGCUAUCACCAACACAUGGCCACACACAUACUCUCACAAAUCUCACAAAUAAACACAUUAGCACACAUUCCCCUUAGCCUUGACCCUGAUGGACAGGCACCCCCCUCUUCUCCUCCUCUGACCCCCUGAACCUUCACCUCCUCCCACACCCAGGCAUAGAGGCCAUUCCUUCCGGCUUGCAGUGGCCCUAUAUAAUUCAGUAUUUUGAGGCUUGUUAGCCCAAAACCAUAAUAAACUCCUUAAUAAAGGAUCACGAGAGAUUCUAGGCAGGGGCUUAAUGGGACUGCGGUAGAGUUAUAAUGUUAAAUUAUUCUUCUCAAAAUGGCCUGGAGCAUCAGUUUUUGAAGAACACAAGAGUAUUUUUGGUCGCAAUCUUCUCUCUAUUCCUGAAUCCUCAGUUGGGCGGACGGAAUUUGCUCAUUUGGCUUCCUGGUCUCCUGCUGUUUAAAAGGUGCACGAGAGAACAGAUUUGCUUGAGUAUCUCUGUUCUUUCUGUGCUCUGAAUUUCACCUGGACAUCCUUCAAGACAAUCAUUAAAAAGGGUCUUCCAUCUUAAAUCUCAACUCAAUUUCACUGAAUUUAUUUUCCUCCCCUUUUUCCUGCUCUGCCAGCUUUGGCUUUUCAGUUUAAGUGUGAUAAAAUAUCUUCCACCUUGAUUUUUUUUUCUUUUAGUAAAAACUAAGAAAGUCAAACUUUCAGUACAUUCAAACAUAAUACGAACGCAAACACCACAUUUGUGCCCCAGAUGAACAGCAAGGUGCAUGGAUACCUGGGCCAGCCAGGACCUCCCUUUCCAUCGGACCAGCCUGCCAGGCUCUCCCGGGGGCUGUGUCGGCUGCCCUUGGUCUUUAAGGAAUUAGGAGGCAGCCGGGUCCCCGUAUAUUAACCUGACACACCCCUCCAGCUGUUUAGGGGUGAAGGCCUGCAGUGCCGGCUGUGGGACCUCUAAGGGAAGUGCUGAAACGCUUGGGAAGAUAAAGUUCCCCGCAAGAUGGCUCCUCAGGAAGCUCGAUUUCAGGUCUACCAUUGUGCGCCAGUAAACCAGCGCAAAAAUGCACCAGGCUCCUCUUGGUCUUUAAUCGCCUUACCAACACCAACCACCAAGAUUCCAUAGAACGCCUGCUCGCCGGUUGGUCGACUGCUGGCAAAUGAAACUUUCCUUGGCGUUCUUAAAGCUCCCAGCUGGAAGCAACACUUUAAAUUUUCAUUUCAAAUUAACCUUAAACGCACGGUUUACAAAUAACUUUCUAAAACCCAAGAAA
Molecule: RNA transcript, 3348 nt
Organism: Mirounga angustirostris (Northern elephant seal)
Lineage: Eukaryota; Metazoa; Chordata; Mammalia; Carnivora; Phocidae
Gene: GMDS
Gene name: GDP-mannose 4,6-dehydratase
Exons: 13
Source: RefSeq, a predicted model, not a curated record